RNAcentral lists this ribosomal RNA (390 nucleotides) under uncultured Glomeromycotina. RNAcentral describes it as "SSU rRNA". Lineage: Eukaryota; Fungi; Glomeromycota. The record is from RNAcentral.
UGACGAACCAUGAUGUCAUUAAUUUGGUGUCAUGGGGAAUCAGGACUGUUACUUUGAAAAAAUUAGAGCGUUUAAAGCAAGCACACGCUUGAAUACAUUAGCAUGGAAUAAUGAAAUAGGACGUUUGACCCUAUUUUGUUGGUUUCUAGGAUCGACGUASUGAUUAAUAGGGAUAGUUGGGGGCAUUAGUAUUCAAUUGUCAGAGGUGAAAUUCUUGGAUUUAUUGAAGACUAACUACUGCGAAAGCAUUUGCCAAGGAUGUUUUCAUUAAUCAAGAACGAAAGUUAGGGGAUCGAAGACGAUCAGAUACCGUCGUAGUCUUAACCAUAAACUAUGCCGACUAGGGAUCGGAUGAUGUUAAUUUUUUAAUGACUCAUUCGGCGCCUUACG